UACGGAAGGCAGCAGUGGGGAAUAUUGCACAAUGGGCGCAAGCCUGAUGCAGCCAUGCCGCGUGUAUGAAGAAGGCCUUCGGGUUGUAAAGUACUUUCAGUCGUGAGGAAGGUGUUAAGGUUAAUAACCUUAGCAAUUGACGUUAGCGACAGAAGAAGCACCGGCUAACUCCGUGCCAGCAGCCGCGGUAAUACGGAGGGUGCGAGCGUUAAUCGGAAUUACUGGGCGUAAAGGGCACGCAGGCGGUUAAUUAAGUUGGAUGUGAAAUCCCCGGGCUUAACCUGGGAAUGGCAUUCAAGACUGGUUAGCUAGAGUCUUGUAGAGGGGGUAGAAUUCCAUGUGUAGCGGUGAAAUGCGUAGAGAUGUGGAGGAAUACCGGUGGCGAAGGCGGCCCCUGGACAAAGACUGACGCUCAUGUGCGAAAGCGUGGGGAGCAAACAGGGAUUAGAU
RNAcentral lists this ribosomal RNA (450 nucleotides) under uncultured bacterium. RNAcentral describes it as "bacterial SSU rRNA". It matches the Rfam family "Bacterial small subunit ribosomal RNA", at positions 340 to 783 of the family's 1533-position model. The record is from RNAcentral.